Molecule: ribosomal RNA, 459 nt
Filed under: uncultured bacterium
Lineage: Bacteria
Description: partial 16S ribosomal RNA
Rfam family: Bacterial small subunit ribosomal RNA
Source: RNAcentral
CCUACGGUGGGCAGCAGUGAGGAAUAUUGGUCAAUGGCCGGAAGGCUGAACCAGCCAUGCCGCGUGAAGGUCAGUGCCCUAUGGCCUUUAAACUCCUUUUGUGCGGGAGCAAGAAUGGUCACUCGUAGCGUUAUCGAGAGUACCUGCAGAGAAACCAUCGGCGAACUCCGUGCCAGCAGGCGCGGUAAUUCAGGGGAUGCUAGCUGUAUCCGGAUUUCUGAGGUUUAAAGGGUGCUUAGGCGGAAUGCCAAGGCAGCGGGAAAAUCGCGGGGCUCAACCUGGCUCCGCCGUUGAAACUGGCGGUCUGGAGUGGGAGAGAAGUAUGCGGAAUGCGUGGUGUAGCGGUGAAAUGCAUAGAUAUCACGAAGAACUCCGACUGCGAAGGCAGCAUACCGGCGCCCAACUGACGCUGAAGCACGAAAGCGUGGGUAUCGAACAGGAUUAGAUACCCGUGUAGUC